CCUACGGGUAGCAGCAGUGGGGAAUAUUGGGCAAUGGGCGCAAGCCUGACCCAGCAACGCCGCGUGAAGGAAGAAGGCUUUCGGGUUGUACACUUCUUUUGUCAGGGAAGAGUAGAAGACGGUAACUGACGAAUAAGCCACGGCUAACUACGUGCCAGCAGCCGCGGUAAUACGUAGGUGGCAAGCGUUGUCCGGAUUUACUGGGUGUAAAGGGCGUGUAGCCGGGUUGACAAGUCAGAUGUGAAAUCCUGCGGCUUAACCGCAGAACUGCAUUUGGAACUGUAAGGCGAGAGUGUCGGAGAGGCAGGCGGAAUUCCUAGUGUAGCGGUGAAAUGCGUAGUUAUUAGGAGGAACACCAGUGGCGAAGGCGGCCUGCUGGACGAUGACUGACGUUGAGGCUCGAAAGCGUGGGGAGCAAACAGGAUUAGAUACCCCAGUAGUC
RNAcentral lists this ribosomal RNA (442 nucleotides) under uncultured bacterium. RNAcentral's name for it is "partial 16S ribosomal RNA". It matches the Rfam family "Bacterial small subunit ribosomal RNA", at positions 338 to 795 of the family's 1533-position model. The record is from RNAcentral.